UGGGGAAUUUUGGACAAUGGGCGAAAGCCUGAUCCAGCAAUGCCGCGUGCAGGAAGAAGGCCUUCGGGUUGUAAACUGCUUUUGUACGGAACGAAAAGGCUCUUUCUAAUAAAGAGGGCCCAUGACGGUACCGUAAGAAUAAGCACCGGCUAACUACGUGCCAGCAGCCGCGGUAAUACGUAGGGUGCGAGCGUUAAUCGCAAUUACUGGGCGUAAAGCGUGCGCAGGCGGUUCUAUAAGACAGAUGUGAAAUCCCCGGGCUCAACCUGGGAAUGGCAUUUGUGACUGUAGAGCUAGAGUACGGUAGAGGGGGAUGGAAUUCCGCGUGUAGCAGUGAAAUGCGUAGAUAUGCGGAGGAACACCGAUGGCGAAGGCAAUCCCCUGGACCUGUACUGACGCUCAUGCACGAAAGCGUGGGGAGCAAACAGGAUUAGAUACCCGAGUAGUCCCUGAGCGGGCUGGCAAGGCGCAU
RNAcentral lists this ribosomal RNA (472 nucleotides) under uncultured bacterium. RNAcentral describes it as "bacterial SSU rRNA". It matches the Rfam family "Bacterial small subunit ribosomal RNA", at positions 355 to 825 of the family's 1533-position model. The record is from RNAcentral.